UCCCUGGGGGCUCAGUGGGUAAAGCAUCUGCCUGGGAUGCAGGAGACCCUGGUUUGAUCCCUGGGUCGGGAA
Molecule: transfer RNA, 72 nt
Filed under: Ovis aries (sheep)
Lineage: Eukaryota; Metazoa; Chordata; Mammalia; Artiodactyla; Bovidae
Rfam family: tRNA
About the family: Transfer RNA (tRNA) molecules are approximately 80 nucleotides in length.
Source: Rfam by way of RNAcentral